RNAcentral lists this ribosomal RNA (403 nucleotides) under bacterium. RNAcentral describes it as "partial 16S ribosomal RNA". It matches the Rfam family "Bacterial small subunit ribosomal RNA", at positions 355 to 776 of the family's 1533-position model. RNAcentral also lists the same sequence under 1 other name. The record is from RNAcentral.
UGGGGAAUAUUGCACAAUGGAUGGAACUCUGAUGCAGCGACGCCGCGUGAACGAAGAAGGCUUUCGAGUCGUAAAGUUCUUUUAUAUGGGAAGAUAAUGACGGUACCAUAAGAAAAAGCCCCGGCUAACUACGUGCCAGCAGCCGCGGUAAUACGUAGGGGGCUAGCGUUGUCCGGAAUCACUGGGCGUAAAGGGUUCGCAGGCGGAAAUGCAAGUCAGGUGUAAAAGGCAGUAGCUUAACUACUGUAAGCAUUUGAAACUGCAUAUCUUGAGAAGAGUAGAGGUAAGUGGAAUUUUUAGUGUAGCGGUGAAAUGCGUAGAUAUUAAAAAGAAUACCGGUGGCGAAGGCGACUUACUGGGCUCAUUCUGACGCUGAGGAACGAAAGCGUGGGUAGCAAACAGG